UUCAUCCUACGGGGCGCAGCAGUAGGGAAUCUUCGGCAAUGGGGGCAACCCUGACCGAGCAACGCCGCGUGAGUGAAGAAGGUUUUCGGAUCGUAAAGCUCUGUUGUAAGAGAAGAACGUGUGUGAGAGUGGAAAGUUCACACAGUGACGGUAACUUACCAGAAAGGGACGGCUAACUACGUGCCAGCAGCCGCGGUGAUACGUAGGUCCCGAGCGUUAUCCGGAUUUAUUGGGCGUAAAGCGAGCGCAGGCGGUGGGAUAAGUCUGAAGUUAAAGGCUGGGGCUUAACC
Molecule: ribosomal RNA, 290 nt
Filed under: uncultured bacterium
Lineage: Bacteria
Description: partial 16S ribosomal RNA
Rfam family: Bacterial small subunit ribosomal RNA
Source: RNAcentral